ACCGGGCGCGGUGGCUCAAGCCUGUAAUCCCAGCACUUUGGGAGGCCGAGACGGGCGGAUCACGAGGUCAGGAGAUCAAGACCAUCCUGGCUAACACGGUGAAACCCCGUCUCUACUAAAAAUACAAAAAACUAGCCGGGCGAGGUGGCGGGCNNNNNNNNNNGCCCGCCACCUCGCCCGGCUAGUUUUUUGUAUUUUUAGUAGAGACGGGGUUUCACCGUGUUAGCCAGGAUGGUCUCGAUCUCCUGACCUCGUGAUCCUCCCGUCUCGGC
This 272-nucleotide signal recognition particle RNA is filed under the name Chlorocebus sabaeus (green monkey). RNAcentral describes it as "Metazoan signal recognition particle RNA". It matches the Rfam family "Metazoan signal recognition particle RNA". Rfam says of the family: The signal recognition particle (SRP) is a universally conserved ribonucleoprotein. It is involved in the co-translational targeting of proteins to membranes. Lineage: Eukaryota; Metazoa; Chordata; Mammalia; Primates; Cercopithecidae. The record is from Rfam by way of RNAcentral.